AUACUUACCUUGCCUGGUAGCGCUUCGCUCAAGAUUGUCGCGCUGCAGAGAGGGAGGCCUGCAUUGCACAUCGCGGUGUCAACCUCUCUCGAUUGCCCUUCGGGGCCAUCGUGGGUGGAAUUUUUGAUUUUGUCUCGUUUUCAUUGUGUUC
RNAcentral lists this small nuclear RNA (151 nucleotides) under Colletotrichum orbiculare MAFF 240422. RNAcentral describes it as "U1 spliceosomal RNA". It matches the Rfam family "U1 spliceosomal RNA". From Rfam's summary of the family: U1 is a small nuclear RNA (snRNA) component of the spliceosome (involved in pre-mRNA splicing). Its 5' end forms complementary base pairs with the 5' splice junction, thus defining the 5' donor site of an intron. There are significant differences in sequence and secondary structure between metazoan and yeast U1 snRNAs, the latter being much longer (568 nucleotides as compared to 164 nucleotides in human). The record is from RNAcentral. Lineage: Eukaryota; Fungi; Ascomycota; Sordariomycetes; Glomerellales; Glomerellaceae.